GAUGAAGAACGUAGCGAAAUGCGAUAAGUAAUGUGAAUUGCAGAAUUCAGUGAAUCAUCGAAUCUUUGAACGCGCCUUGCACCCUUUGGUAUUCCGAAGGGUAUGCUCGUUUGAGUGUCAUUGUACUCUCACACUUCUAAUUCCUUUCGGGAUUGGGAGCGGUGGACUUGGGUGUUGCUGCUUUAGUUGUGGCUCACCUCAAAUAAGUUAGUGCAACUCUUGGUUGGACAUAGUACGGCGUGAUAAGUGUCUUCGCCGGCGCCUCUGUAAGGAGGGUGGCCGAUCGGGAGCUCUGUGCUUCAAACCGUCUUCGGACAAUCUUUGACAACUUGACCUCAAAUCGAGUAGGACUACCCGCUGAACUUAAGCAUAUCAAUAAGCGGAGGA
This 387-nucleotide unclassified non-coding RNA is filed under the name soil metagenome. RNAcentral describes it as "partial contains 5.8S ribosomal RNA, internal transcribed spacer 2, and large subunit ribosomal RNA". The stretch from base 1 to 120 matches the Rfam family "5.8S ribosomal RNA", at positions 35 to 154 of the family's 154-position model. The record is from RNAcentral.